CGAAGGGUUGCUGUGACGCUACCAUCCAAGCCUCACUAUCCAAGAAAUUAAUUUAUCGGUAAUGAUUUUGUUCCCUUAUUUCAAUUACUUUUCUAAUUUUUCUAUUAAAUACAUGCCUUUUUCAUGGCUUUUAAUUUUUCUAUUAAAUCACUUAUUUUAUUUAUUCAUAUAUUAUUAUAUUUUUAUAUUUUUGUACUAACAUAGCACUUAAUAAUUAUUUUUUAUCUUUUCAUUGUUAGAUCGUGAGCUGCUUAAAUGAUUUGUAGAAUAAAUUAUGAAUGCUGAAGGAGUGGAGGAUCUUGACGAUUGACGAUAUCGUGGCAUGACGUUUUGGAUUGGAAGCUUGGAAGCUUGGAGCCUGGGAAUCUACAUGGAUUUGUAAUGUUUUUUAUUUGUGGAGUUUAAUGGCUGUGUACUUGAAUUUAGUUGUGUUUUUUAUUUGUGGAUUUUUGCACUUGACUUUAAUUAUUUUUUAUGUUUGAUUUAUGUUGUGAUAUUUUUAUUUUGUCGAUUUAUAAUGAUGUACGUUAUUUAUGUUAAAUUGUUACUCGUGGAUUUUUAUUUGGGGAUUUUAAUGGUUGUGCAUUUGAAUUUAGUUAUUUUUUUUAUUUAUGAAUUUUAAUAGUUAUGCACUUAGAAUUUAGUUAUUUUUUAUGUUUGAUUUAUGUUGUGAUAUUUUUAUUUGUAGAUUUAUGUUGAUGUUAUAUGUUAUUUAUGUUA
RNAcentral lists this long non-coding RNA (720 nucleotides) under Citrus x clementina. RNAcentral describes it as "Citrus clementina (C. clementina) long non-coding RNA (CCLE_LNC005436)". The record is from RNAcentral. Lineage: Eukaryota; Viridiplantae; Streptophyta; Magnoliopsida; Sapindales; Rutaceae.